This 645-nucleotide ribosomal RNA is filed under the name Bacillus sp. 14080. RNAcentral's name for it is "bacterial SSU rRNA". It matches the Rfam family "Bacterial small subunit ribosomal RNA", at positions 64 to 691 of the family's 1533-position model. Lineage: Bacteria; Bacillati; Bacillota; Bacilli; Caryophanales; Bacillaceae. The record is from RNAcentral.
GAGCGACUGAUUAGAAGCUUGCUUCUAUGACGUUAGCGGCGGACGGGUGAGUAACACGUGGGCAACCUGCCUGUAAGACUGGGAUAACUUCGGGAAACCGAAGCUAAUACCGGAUAGGAUCUUCUCCUUCAUGGGAGAUGAUUGAAAGAUGGUUUCGGCUAUCACUUACAGAUGGGCCCGCGGUGCAUUAGCUAGUUGGUGAGGUAACGGCUCACCAAGGCAACGAUGCAUAGCCGACCUGAGAGGGUGAUCGGCCACACUGGGACUGAGACACGGCCCAGACUCCUACGGGAGGCAGCAGUAGGGAAUCUUCCGCAAUGGACGAAAGUCUGACGGAGCAACGCCGCGUGAGUGAUGAAGGCUUUCGGGUCGUAAAACUCUGUUGUUAGGGAAGAACAAGUACGAGAGUAACUGCUCGUACCUUGACGGUACCUAACCAGAAAGCCACGGCUAACUACGUGCCAGCAGCCGCGGUAAUACGUAGGUGGCAAGCGUUAUCCGGAAUUAUUGGGCGUAAAGCGCGCGCAGGCGGUUUCUUAAGUCUGAUGUGAAAGCCCACGGCUCAACCGUGGAGGGUCAUUGGAAACUGGGGAACUUGAGUGCAGAAGAGAAAAGCGGAAUUCCACGUGUAGCGGUGAAAUGCGU